GGGAUAACCCCGGGAAACUGGGGAUAAUACCCUAUAGAUUACAGAUGCUGGAAUGCCCUGUAAUCCAAAGUUCCGACGCCCUAGGAUGGAUCUGCGGCCGAUUAGGUUGUUGUUGGGGUAAUGGCCCAACAAGCCCGUAAUCGGUACGGGUUGUGGGAGCAAGAGCCCGGAGUUGGAUUCUGAGACACGAAUCCAGGCCCUACGGGGCGCAGCAGGCGCGAAAACUUUACAAUGCGGGCAACCGUGAUAAGGGAACCUCGAGUGCCUGUAAAUGCAGGCUGUUCAGGUGCCUAAAACACACCUGAAGAAAGGGCCGGGCAAGACCGGUGCCAGCCGCCGCGGUAAUACCGGCGGCUCGAGUGGUGGCCGCUUUUAUUGGGCUUAAAGCGUUCGUAGCUGGGUUGUUAAGUCUCUUGGGAAAUCUGGCGGCUUAACCGUCAGGCGUCUAAGGGAUACUGGCAAUCUUGGAACCGGGAGAGGUGAGGGGUACUUCGGGGGUAGGAGUGAAAUCCUGUAAUCCUCGAGGGACCACCUGUGGCGAAGGCGCCUCACCAGAACGGCUUCGACAGUGAGGGACGAAAGCUGGGGGAGCAAACCGGAUUAGAUACCCGGGUAGUCCCAGCCGUAAACUAUGCGCGUUAGGUGUAUCGGUGACCACGAGUUACCGAGGUGCCGAAGGGAAACCGUGAAACGUGCCGCCUGGGAAGUACGGUCGCAAGGCUGAAACUUAAAGGAAUUGGCGGGGGAGCA
This 750-nucleotide ribosomal RNA is filed under the name uncultured archaeon. RNAcentral describes it as "bacterial SSU rRNA". It matches the Rfam family "Archaeal small subunit ribosomal RNA", at positions 123 to 878 of the family's 1478-position model. The record is from RNAcentral.